GACGAACGCUGGCGGCGUGCUUAACACAUGCAAGUCGAACGGAAAGGCCUCUUUCGGGGGGUACUCGAGUGGCGAACGGGUGAGUAACACGUGAGUAACCUGCCCUUGACUUUGGGAUAACUUCAGAAAACUGGGGCUAAUACCGGAUAGGAGCUCCUGCUGCAUGGUGGGGGUUGGAAAGUUUCGGCGGUUGGGGAUGGAUUCGCGGCUUAUCAGUUUUUUGGUUGGGGAGUGGCUUACCAAGGCUUUGGCGGGUAGUCGGCCUGUGAGGGUGACCGGCCACAGUGAGUAUGGGAUACGGCCCAGACUCCCACGGGAGGCAGAAGAGGGGGAUAUUGCACAAUGGGUGGAAGCCUGAUGCAGCAACGCCGGGGGCGGGAUGACGGCCCUCGGGUUGUAAACCGCUUUCGCUCAUGACGAAGCUUUGUGUGACGGUAGUGGGUAAAGAAGCACCGGCUAACUCCGUG
Molecule: ribosomal RNA, 467 nt
Filed under: uncultured bacterium
Lineage: Bacteria
Description: partial 16S ribosomal RNA
Rfam family: Bacterial small subunit ribosomal RNA
Source: RNAcentral